UGAAUUCCAUUAUAUAAUCAACGCAUUCAUCUUUGAUGUAUUCCUAGAGAAUAUAUGCAUUGAUUGCAGAUAACUGAAGGUUUUUGUAUUCCACCCACUGUGCCGAGGAAUAAGUGCAAAGAGGUCAUCUAGGCUAUCACUUAUGGAUGAAGCAGAUAUGCCAUACAGUUCAGACGACAGUAUCGAAAGCUCCAGCUGGAAGAAAGAUAUUGAUAGUGACUUGAUGGAAAGGUUUAUUCGAGAUAUGGUAUUCUCCAAUAUGAAAGCCAAGAAUCAUGAACAGUCGUAUUACGAUGAAGAGAAAUGAAAACUUAAAGAAAAAUAUGUAUGAAAAAGUAUCCCAUAUCCUGCGAUAUAAAAUGUAGAAGACGAAAAGAAAAGCUCUUUUUCGAAGCAUAUCAAAAAUAUUAGCAUAUGUAUAUUUCAGUCGCUAAUAACAAAAUAAAAUAUGAAUUUUGGAUCUUCAAAAUAAGUAAUAGAUAUAUUUUAAUUUUUUUACUUUAGUAAUAAUUGGAUAAAAUAAACGUAUGUAAUUACCA
Molecule: long non-coding RNA, 539 nt
Organism: Stegodyphus dumicola
Lineage: Eukaryota; Metazoa; Arthropoda; Arachnida; Araneae; Eresidae
Source: RefSeq, a predicted model, not a curated record